AGUAACACGUGGGCAACCUGCCUGUAAGUUGGGGAUAACUCCGGGAAACCGGGGCUAAUACCGAAUGAUAAGAUGUGGCGCAUGCCACGCCUUUGAAAGAUGGUUUCGGCUAUCGCUUACAGAUGGGCCCGCGGUGCAUUAGCUAGUUGGUAGGGUAAUGGCCUACCAAGGCAACGAUGCAUAGCCGACCUGAGAGGGUGAUCGGCCACACUGGGACUGAGACACGGCCCAGACUCCUACGGGAGGCAGCAGUAGGGAAUCUUCCGCAAUGGACGAAAGUCUGACGGAGCAACGCCGCGUGUAUGAAGAAGGUUUUCGGAUCGUAAAGUACUGUUGUUAGAGAAGAACAAGGAUAAGAGUAACUGCUUGUCCCUUGACGGUAUCUAACCAGAAAGCCACGGCUAACUACGUGCCAGCAGCCGCGGUAAUACGUAGGUGGCAAGCGUUGUCCGGAUUUAUUGGGCGUAAAGCGCGCGCAGGCGGUCUUUUAAGUCUGAUGUGAAA
This 504-nucleotide ribosomal RNA is filed under the name Listeria monocytogenes. Its description in RNAcentral is "bacterial SSU rRNA". It matches the Rfam family "Bacterial small subunit ribosomal RNA", at positions 109 to 599 of the family's 1533-position model. The record is from RNAcentral. Lineage: Bacteria; Bacillati; Bacillota; Bacilli; Caryophanales; Listeriaceae.